GAAGACUAAAUUAGCUAAAAGGCCUCCACCUUGACAGGGUGGAGGUCGUGAGUUCAAGCCUCUCCGGGGUCA
Molecule: transfer RNA, 72 nt
Filed under: Bacillus thuringiensis
Lineage: Bacteria; Bacillati; Bacillota; Bacilli; Caryophanales; Bacillaceae
Description: tRNA-Val
Source: RNAcentral